This 1105-nucleotide ribosomal RNA is filed under the name Staphylococcus aureus. RNAcentral's name for it is "partial 23S ribosomal RNA". It matches the Rfam family "Bacterial large subunit ribosomal RNA", at positions 513 to 1620 of the family's 2925-position model. The record is from RNAcentral. Lineage: Bacteria; Bacillati; Bacillota; Bacilli; Caryophanales; Staphylococcaceae.
GGUGAAAAGCACCCCGGAAGGGGAGUGAAAUAGAACCUGAAACCGUGUGCUUACAAGUAGUCAGAGCCCGUUAAUGGGUGAUGGCGUGCCUUUUGUAGAAUGAACCGGCGAGUUACGAUUUGAUGCAAGGUUAAGCAGUAAAUGUGGAGCCGUAGCGAAAGCGAGUCUGAAUAGGGCGUUUAGUAUUUGGUCGUAGACCCGAAACCAGGUGAUCUACCCUUGGUCAGGUUGAAGUUCAGGUAACACUGAAUGGAGGACCGAACCGACUUACGUUGAAAAGUGAGCGGAUGAACUGAGGGUAGCGGAGAAAUUCCAAUCGAACCUGGAGAUAGCUGGUUCUCUCCGAAAUAGCUUUAGGGCUAGCCUCAAGUGAUGAUUAUUGGAGGUAGAGCACUGUUUGGACGAGGGGCCCCUCUCGGGUUACCGAAUUCAGACAAACUCCGAAUGCCAAUUAAUUUAACUUGGGAGUCAGAACAUGGGUGAUAAGGUCCGUGUUCGAAAGGGAAACAGCCCAGACCACCAGCUAAGGUCCCAAAAUAUAUGUUAAGUGGAAAAGGAUGUGGCGUUGCCCAGACAACUAGGAUGUUGGCUUAGAAGCAGCCAUCAUUUAAAGAGUGCGUAAUAGCUCACUAGUCGAGUGACACUGCGCCGAAAAUGUACCGGGGCUAAACAUAUUACCGAAGCUGUGGAUUGUCCUUUGGACAAUGGUAGGAGAGCGUUCUAAGGGCGUUGAAGCAUGAUCGUAAGGACAUGUGGAGCGCUUAGAAGUGAGAAUGCCGGUGUGAGUAGCGAAAGACGGGUGAGAAUCCCGUCCACCGAUUGACUAAGGUUUCCAGAGGAAGGCUCGUCCGCUCUGGGUUAGUCGGGUCCUAAGCUGAGGCCGACAGGCGUAGGCGAUGGAUAACAGGUUGAUAUUCCUGUACCACCUAUAAUCGUUUUAAUCGAUGGGGGGACGCAGUAGGAUAGGCGAAGCGUGCGAUUGGAUUGCACGUCUAAGCAGUAAGGCUGAGUAUUAGGCAAAUCCGGUACUCAUUAAGGCUGAGCUGUGAUGGGGAGAAGACAUUGUGUCUUCGAGUCGUUGAUUUCACACUGCCGAGAAAAGCCU